GGCCUAGUAGCAUACGGCAUGCACCUGCUUAUAUUCAGCGCUCCCAAAAACUGAUGCAGGGGACCUCCGUUCGACUCGGGGCUAGGCCG
Molecule: non-coding RNA, 89 nt
Organism: Mycena polygramma
Lineage: Eukaryota; Fungi; Basidiomycota; Agaricomycetes; Agaricales; Mycenaceae
Source: the annotation of a GenBank genome assembly